CCUACGGGGGGCAGCAGUGGGGAAUAUUGCACAAUGGGGGAAACCCUGAUGCAGCGACGCCGCGUGGGUGACGAAGUAUUUCGGUAUGUAAAGCCCUAUCAGCAGGGAAGAAGAUGACAGUACCUGACCAAGAAGCCCCGGCUAACUACGUGCCAGCAGCCGCGGUAAUACGUAGGGGGCAAGCGUUAUCCGGAUUUACUGGGUGUAAAGGGAGCGUAGGUGGCAUGGCAAGCCAGAAGUGAAAACCCGGGGCUUAACCCCGCGGAUUGCUUUUGGAACUGUCAGGCUGGAGUGCAGGAGGGGCAGGCGGAAUUCCUGGUGUAGCGGUGAAAUGCGUAGAUAUCAGGAGGAACACCGGUGGCGAAGGCGGCCUGCUGGACUGUAACUGACACUGAGGCUCGAAAGCGUGGGGAGCAAACAGGAUUAGAUACCCCAGUAGUC
RNAcentral lists this ribosomal RNA (441 nucleotides) under uncultured bacterium. RNAcentral's name for it is "partial 16S ribosomal RNA". It matches the Rfam family "Bacterial small subunit ribosomal RNA", at positions 338 to 795 of the family's 1533-position model. The record is from RNAcentral.